ACASCGGGUAUUUGCCUCAGUACGGCGAGUGAAGCGGCAAAAGCUCAAAUUUGAAAUCUAGCACCUUCGGUGUUCGAGUUGUAAUUUGAAGAUGGUAACCUUGGGUUUGGCUCUUGUCUAUGUUCCUUGGAACAGGACGUCAUAGAGGGUGAGAAUCCCGUCUGAUGAGAUGCCCAUUCCUAUGUAAGGUGCUAUCGAARAGUCGAGUUGUUUGGGAAUGCAGCUCUAAGUGGGUGGUAAAUUCCAUCUAAAGCUAAAUAUUGGCGAGAGACCGAUAGCGAACAAGUACAGUGAUGGAAAGAUGAAAAGAACUUUGAAAAGAGAGUGAAAAAGUACGUGAAAUUGUUGAAAGGGAAGGGCAUUAGAUCAGACUUGGUGUUUUACGAUUAUCUUCUCUUCUUGAGUUGUGCACUCGUAUUUCACUGGGCCAGCAUCGAUUCGGAUGGCAAGAUAAUAGCAGUUGAAUGUGGCUUCACUUCGGUGGAGUGUUAUAGCUUCUGUUGAUAUUGCCUGUCUGGAUCGAGGGCUGCGUCUUUUGACUAGGAUGCUGGCGUAAUGAUCUAAUGCCGCCCGUCUUGAAACACGGACMA
RNAcentral lists this ribosomal RNA (590 nucleotides) under Hansenula anomala. Its description in RNAcentral is "LSU rRNA". It matches the Rfam family "Eukaryotic large subunit ribosomal RNA", at positions 65 to 668 of the family's 3401-position model. Lineage: Eukaryota; Fungi; Ascomycota; Saccharomycetes; Phaffomycetales; Wickerhamomycetaceae. The record is from RNAcentral.